AAAUCUUCUGCACAGCUGUACAUCUCUAACCUUCCUGUGCUUUCUCCUUUGCAGGGCCUGUACAUAUUCCUGGUCUAUGCAGUCUAUAACAGUGAGGAAUGCCAUCCAGAGGAUGAAGGACAAAAAGAAAGCACUCUCAUUCACAAACUGCUCUCAUCCCAUCAACUACUUAUCAAGUCCAAGAAACACGACCUCCUGGGAGACAGGGAAACCAUCUGUAGCUGAGAGUGCCUUGUCAAGCCCUAUGCAGAAAGAUCCUCCAGUGAAGAACAUCACCAACAAAGGAAAUUUUGGAGCCAAAAUUCCCAUGGGGAUUUCAUCAAUUAUGUCACCUGAGAGACCGGCUGUAGAGCUGACAGCGUUCAAAUCCUCAGGUUUCUGAGAUGCUUCUGGGUGAUGGGCCCACGACACCAAGUCUCUUCCAGGAGCCAGGAGGAUGGCAGGUCAGAGGAGACAGCUUCCAUGUGGAGGGCUGUCCCAGCCCAGGCAGAGCUGUUAGCCCUGCGCUUCUUCCUAGCAGCAUGUGUGGACAAAACCAAGGCAGGACUGGGGCAGCUGAGGUCUCACAGGGCUUUAUCUGCUGCUCAAGGAUGCCCGUGGCAGCCGUGCCCAUGCUCCUGUGCCGAUGAAGACUGCUGGCUUCCCUGGCCCUGCUGCUGGCCCAUCACACCGCUCUGCUGGGGAAGGACUGGGGACAGGCUGCAUAAGCAGCACAUGCACUAAGGAAGACAGCAGCUGGCUUCACGUCUUUUCUAAACCAGCUGACUUCUAUAGCAUCUUCUGCUGUAUAGGACAAAAAUCCUCUUCCUGCUCCUCCUGGGGCUCCCACCCGGCUGGUGUGGUCCCUCGCUAGCUGGGGUUAUGUUUUCUCUCCCUCUGUUCUUAGCAUCUGACUAGUGUUUAGAG
RNAcentral lists this long non-coding RNA (906 nucleotides) under Strigops habroptila (Kakapo). RNAcentral describes it as "lncRNA (ENSSHBG00005013555.1)". The record is from RNAcentral. Lineage: Eukaryota; Metazoa; Chordata; Aves; Psittaciformes; Psittacidae.